GUAAGUGACUAUGCCGGGAUUGUGGUUAUUGAACUUAGCGUCUCCACUCACGGCAUUUCAUUCACUUGCAG
Molecule: non-coding RNA, 71 nt
Organism: Drosophila melanogaster (fruit fly)
Lineage: Eukaryota; Metazoa; Arthropoda; Insecta; Diptera; Drosophilidae
Source: Ensembl